This 7693-nucleotide long non-coding RNA is filed under the name Lactuca sativa (garden lettuce). RNAcentral describes it as "long non-coding RNA (LSAT_LNC001765)". Lineage: Eukaryota; Viridiplantae; Streptophyta; Magnoliopsida; Asterales; Asteraceae. The record is from RNAcentral.
ACUGUUGGGUUUUUAGCAUUCUAACACUCCUAUGGUGUACAUGCAACCCUAUAAACCUUGGAUCUAUGUUUUCUCUAUUAUACAUGCAAAUAAGAACUUUCCAAGGCUUUAAUCCUAACUAGCAUAUUAUGAUGUUCUUAAUCUACAAAGUACUAGUUAGAGGACAUACCUUUUGAUGUAGCUUGAUGUCUUCAAGCUUUAAGAGCUUAGCCCCAAUAGUGUGGAAGCCUCAAGUGGAAUCACAAAUCACCAAGACACCUUGGAAAACUUUAGAGAAUAUGAAUACUUGGUUCUCUCUUAGUAAAAUCGGCUAGCCCUCUUAGUGUAUCCACACUAGUGCCAAUUUCACCAACCAAAGACAUCUUUAUAUAGUAUGGAGGAUUAGGGUUAAACCCUAACACCCAUGACCUUUCAUUUCCUAGGAUCCAUGGGUUAAACACUCCAUGGACUAUCCAUGAAAGCUUAGCCCAACCUAAAUGAACUUGGCCCAUUCCAUAUAUAUAAGAGUCCAUAUUUAAUUAGUUCCUUUUGAUCACUUAAUUAAUUAUAAAUUAAUUCUUGAUCAAUACUAAUUAAAUAAUAUGAUUCCAUAUUAAUAUAUUAGAACUUAUAAUAUAUUAAUAUUAAUCAUAAACAUACUAUUCUCAAAAGAUUAUCCAUAUAAAUUGUGUCGGUGAAGUGCAACCCAAAUGGACCAUGCCGGGUCGGGUCAAGUACAUACCAAAUAUAGUUAUGGACUUAGACAUUAAUCCAACAGUCUCCCACUUGGAUAAGUCUAAAACUAUUAUUGCGUAUGACUUCAAACCUAACUGGCAAUCGUAGCUCUUAAAGCUGCUGUCGAACUCUGAUCUUGUCAACGAACUUGUCCAUUAGAUAAGGGAUCAUAUAUUCCUCCAUUCUAGAUAUCAUAUGGACUGAGACAUGGAUUAUAAUCAUUCUCUCUGUCCAUUUGUUGUUUCCCGAUUUCCGAUUUAUGACGACUGACUAAUUGAACAAAUCAAAUCAGUCCUGGCCCGGCCGAGCACUUCCAUUUGUCAUCAUCAAAUCAUCGAGGGGCCCACAGAUAUCGCUUUUAUCCCGAAGGUAAAAGGAAUGGAUAAACUUCGACUCAUAUGGCUUGUUCUACUACUUGUUGAAUCAUACACAAAGGCACGUUUUAUAGCACCGAGUUACCAAAUGCGUUUUCGUGCAAUCAAUGUACAACCAACUCAUAGUAACAACUCAUAUCUCUAGGUUUGAAGAAUAUAAGAUAUUAUCGUCUCAUGAUCACUCGUGAUAAAAUCCAUGAAGUGAUUCCAAUGAGCGCGGGUUGAAUCCAAUACUCAGAACUUAUGAGCACUCAUGAGUGUUGUAGCCCUUUGUCCAACACCUUAGACCUCUACAAGCCAACCCAUGACAGUCUUAAUUCAUAUCUACUUCCAACAUAUGACCGACUGUGGAUGGUUUGAAUAACUUAGUCAUUCCGGAAGAAUAACCUAGUUUAUUCGGGAAGUCAAAACAUGCAAAGUGAAACACAAUAAUAAUUGAAUCCAAUAUGGUAUCAACCCUUUGAACAUAAAUAAAACACCUUUUAUUUAUCACCAUAUGAUUACACAUUAUUCAUUGUAUACUGUUUCAGCUAUCAACUUUAUUCUUGAAUUUAAAACAAUAGUUGUCCCAUGCUCCAAGCAUGUACACUAUGUUUUCUUAAACACUAGUCAUGCCACACACCAAGUAUGCAUACUAUGUUUGUCUAUGAUCUUUACUUUGUGAACUAGAUCAAUUGAACAUAACUUCAAUGAUUCUCUUUUCACACUCCCAAAUCCUUACUGCAAAUGCAAGAAUUCCAAAUUCAUGCCAUUUACUGAAAUCUGUUAGAUUCUAAACUUAUAUGCAUUGAUCCUCUUGUAAUGAUUAUGCACAAAGUCACAAAGACUUGGCAACAAUCAUUACAGAGUAUUCCAAAGGAGAUCAACUCCUUGGAAAUAUCCUUCUUGCAUUAAGUUUCCUUAAUCUUACACAGAUUGAAAAUUCUAACUUUGAAACAUUUCCAGAUUCCAUUUUGACUAUCACUUCUGAACAAGAGUUGCCUCCUUACAGAUUAUGUCAAUAUGGUCCUUCCAGAAUUAUCACUAUACUUCCAAUUGUCCUUGAGUAACCAAUCUUUGGUAAACCUUAGAUUGUCCUCGACAAUUGUUUAAUCCUUUUAGUCAUAUCCAGUUCUAAACCUUUUCCCUUCUUAAUGCCCCAGGCAUUUGGAAAAUUUUAGAACGGAUGAAUAUAGCACAUGUAAUCGAUCCUAUAUCCGAAGCAUAUGGGACACGAUUCAUGAUGUCUUACAUAAAGACUAAACCAGUCUUUUGCUAUAAUAUUUCCAUUUCAAUUUGCCAAGUUCUCAUAAUUCAGAUUAUGAAAAGGGAUGCCGUAAUCAUAAUCGAAUUUUAGAACGCAAAUAAUGGACCCAUAUACAGAAUUUCCUUAUGUUGAGCCAUUCCAACAUGAAAUUCAUAUAUAUCCUUGACUAAAUGAUUAAAACCUCACGAUCUAAGCUUAUAGAUUUGAGAUGAAGCAUAAUUUCCUCUCCCUUAAUUAUAGCAAAACAACUUUUUCCCAAUUGAAACUUUUGUUUUCUAUAAUUAACAUUGCUAACUUGCAAUACUUAUCAUAAUUAUCAUGCUCCCACUAACAUGAUGAUUAUUAGCAUAACACUUAUGCUCCCACUAGCUUUGACAUGUACUCAGAAAUCAGCUGGACAGUCUGAAAUUUAGAUUCAUACACCCUUUCCGUAGAUAGCUCACCUGUGUGUCUAAGCAAUUUCAAGAACCAUGAAAAGGGAUACCGUAAUCAUGGUCUCAAUUGCUUAGGCAUUUGCCAUUUCUCACAAGUCCAUGUUAGUGUGCCGGUUAACCACACGCGCUCCACUAACGACUUUUGAAAAUGCAAAUAACACAAUUGAUAUCUUCGUAAAAUCUACUUAGUGAAAGCGUUUCCUCACCAUCAUUUUCAUGAAUCGGAGAGAAACCUUAUGACACUUAGAUUUAUAUGGUGUAUGAGUUCCUACCCAUAUGAAUUUGUCAAACCAUAAUCACAAGACAAAGAUAAUGACAAAUCCAAAACCAUAUGGAUUGAACUCAAUCUUAACUUCUUGCCACCUGGCAGCUCAAGGGCCUGCCAUUGCUUCCAAGUUGUUGUGCAACAAAUUGAGAACUCUAAGAACUCAUAUGCAAAACCAACUUUAACUGGAAUGGGCACAGAAUAUGUCAACACGAUAGGUUAUGAACCUCAAGUCGUGUGCUAGUGAAGAACUUUAGGUUUUAUUCUUGAUUAUUUCUUGAGACUUUCAAGACCUUUAAGACUCCCACUGUCCUCUUGACAUAUAAGACUCCCUUGUCAAACAUCCAAGAGAUAGUGCGGAUUCUAAUCAAGAAAAACACUUUACCCAAUUGGCCUAAGUUGGUCUUUGUUUUAUCCAAAACAUCACAACUUACCAAUUUCAAAUGUACAAGAGUAGAAAACUUUUACUCUUACAUUUGACAAGUGUUUUAAACCUUCUUUAAGACAUGUCACUCAAAUGACAAUCUUGGAGUAUGACUCUAAGACUUGUAUUGGAACGAAGUAUGACUCAUCUUCUUGAUUUAACCAUUUCAACAAUUCAAGUUCCUCUUCUUAGUCAUAAGAAUGCACUAAGAUUUCCUUAGAGAACUAAUUUUGAUAUGGUUUCUUAAUCAUUAAGAUGAUCACAAAACUGAUACUAAAGUACUCUCCCAUCUUUUCAGAUUUGAGAAACUUUUAUCCUUCUGCCUUAUUUGAUUCUUCUUAUCGAUCUUUAGUGGUGGACUUAAUCAGUGCACAAGAAUGUGUACUCGAUCCCUAAGUCCUUUACUUGACUCACACAUCCAUGUGAACAAGUAAUUAGUCUUAAUUUUCCAAAACUUGAAAGUUCUCAUUCAUCAUGCUAUACAACUUGCAUGAUUCCAAGUUCCGGUCCAAUUGAAACUUGGGUGAUGAGAAUCUUUCCUUAUUUGGUAAAUUUAGACAUUACCACAAAUGAAAGAAUCAAUUUCAUACUUCCACUCUUGCUACUAAUGGAAUCUUAUAAGCAACAAAAAUUUCCACAGAUGCCAUUGUAAGGAUAUUUUAAAAUAAAUAAAAUCAAAAAUUUCCUUUUAUUUUAAAACUUUGCGGAAAAACUAUCCUUACAAUCCAUAUGAAAACUUGUUGUUAUCUAUUCCUAAGCAAUAUCUCAUAACUCCUAAGAAGUAGCUCAAGAAUCCGAUUUUUCAAACUAUGCGAUAGAAAUCCAUCUAUGCGAUCAGAUUCAGCAUAUUCUUCCUUUAAGUUUCUUCACUUUCCUUUGAUUCUUAAACCAUCACCAUGCGACCCGGUCACAUCAUGUAUCAAGAAUCUCAGAAUAGAAACUUAACAGAGUUAGAUAGUGGAUUUUACCUGAAGUAGAGUCAAACUUAUUGACUUUAACAUCCUUAGGUAAAUUUGGCAGCUUCGCAACCAAUGCCCUUUCUUUGGCAAUACAAACAUAUGGACCCUUUGAUAAUGGUACACAGGACUAUCACAGACUUAGCUUUUCUCUUUACCAUUUGGUCAACCGAGUUGACUAUAGCCGAUCCCUUUCCAUUGGGAAGAGAAUGCUUUACUGGAUAUCCAAUGUCAUCAUUGUCAAUGUCCAUAAAGUUUUAGGAAGUUGAUCUUAGCAAAUAGAUAAGAUCAUUAAGGGUCUUGUCAUAGUCUGUUUCAUAGGUGUCCCAAAGGAACUCACUAUGUGACUUAGAAAGUGGUUGAACCACCAACUUUCUCAAGACUUUGACACCCAACUCUCCCGGCUUGUCAAUAUGUGACUACAUCUCCAAGAUGUGACCACACCUAGACCUUGCCUUGCCAAUAGGGCCUGAGUGACCUUAAACUUUUCAAGAACUUGUGGGUUAGGGAGAAUAAUUUGAAGAGGUGAAGAAGUAUGAUAUCCAUGGGACAUCAUCUUCAUUAGGAAACCUUGUUUCAAGAGAUUUGGGAAGAUCAUAGGUGUCUAAACCAGACAUCUUUUGGGAGAUAUUCAAGAUAGUUGAUUUAAAGUCCUUAAUAUGACACCCAAUAUGAAAUAUUAAGGCUAGGACCCAACAAACUAUUUUAUAACUUAGAAGAGGUAUGCCGUAAUCCAAGCUAUAAAAUAUUUGAAGGUAGGUGAAUGACGAUUCACCAAUUUCCACCAAGAUAAACGAAAUGUAUUAUUAGGUUUUAAUUGGUUUUGAAACUCCUAGAUCUUUGAGAUUCAUUGAACUUUUCAAAGGCAUGUUUCAAUCUCGAGUGUGCCCUUCAGGUUUUGUGACUGGGAUGCCGAGGAUCACAAAACAAGGUGUGAAGUAACCAUGCAAAUCACUUGGUACCCUUAAUAAAUUACCCCUCAAUCGAUGUGCCGGUUAACCACACACGCUCCAUCGAUACUAUGAUAAAUAUUAAGUCACCCUUUACCUACCUUGUUAAGUCCAAGUUAGUGUGCCGGUUAACCACACACGCUCCACUAACGACUUAGACAAAGUGUAAAGUGUAAUUUCAUGGAUUAGCACCUUAUUCACAUUUUUCCUAAGUAACUAAGAUUGGGUAUUAUUAAGAGUUUAGUUACUUAGUAUUAUCAUUAAUACUUUUAAUGAAGGGAGAAUUCUAGUCCUGUCAAACCCGUUCGGCUAACGACCCUCCACCAGUCAAGCAAGCGGUGGGUGAGAGUGGACACCCAUUAAGUUGCCAUUUUAUAGGCAACAACCUUAUACCCACCUUAUAGACCGGCUUCGUGAAUGAGGCGUACUAGCGGUAAGACUGACUUUACUCUUAUACAUAUAUAUAUUAUUAACUUAUAAUAUUAUAAAGUAUAAGGGUUGAAUUUUAACUUUUAAAAUUCUAAGGGCUAACUUGGAAUUAAAGUAUUCAUAAGUGAAAACUUUACAAAUUCCAAAACUUGAGGGCAAGUUUUGAAACUAUUCAAAACUAAUUAAUUCCAUAACUUAUGUGUUUAAAGUAGUUUUAAUCCAAAAACUCUUCAAGUUCCAUAACUUGAGGACAAGUUAUGGAAGACUUUAAACUAAUAAAAGAAUUAACUUUUCUUUAUUUUAUAACUUAUGGAAUUAAUUAAGGUUACCCCUUUUUUUAUUUUAUUUUAUUUUAUUAAAUGAAGAGACUCUUGGUCCUCCAUAACUUGAGGACAAGUUAUGGAGUCAUAAAACCAUUUAAUUAGAACUAGACUCUUCAUUUUUGUAACCUUUGCCAAUUUUUAUGAGUUUUAUGAUUCUUAAAUGUGACUUUUCAUAUAACUUGAGGACAAGUUACAAAAACACAUUUUAGAAUCAAUUCUUAGAUUAAUUUGGAUUAAAACCAACUAUCACAUAAUUUUAUUCAUUAAUCUAAAUUCACUCAUAAAACAAGGUAACACAAAAAACUUUUGGUGAUCCAUAACUUAUUCUUAAGUUAUGGAAUCCUUUAAAACAUUAACACCAAAUUUUGUAACUCCAAAAAAACUUUGAAUCAAUUUUUUUUUAAAACCUUUUCAUAUCCAUAACUUAUGGAGGUUUCAAAAAAUAAAACUCUUUAGAUCAAACUUUUAAAACUAAUAAAAUAAUCAUAUUAUUUUAUCUUUUAUUAAAUUUGACCUAAUUCAACUCAUAAAGCAAAUUAUUCAAAUUUUACAAAUAAUUAGUUUUUCACAAGAACAAGUAAUUAUCUUAAAAUUUGACGAACUUCAUGUUUUUUUUAUUUUUUUUUUUUCAACUUUGAAAAUAAAAUAUUUGCAUCAAUAUAACAGAAAACAACCCGAGGCUCUGAUACCACUGUUGGGUUUUGAGCAUUCUAACACUCCUAUGGUGUACAUGCAACCCUAUAAACCUUGGAUCUAUGUUUUCUCUAUUAUACAUGCAAAUAAGAACUUUCCAAGGCUUUAAUCCUAACUAGCAUAUUAUGAUGUUCUUAAUCUACAAAGUACUAGUUAGAGGACAUACCUUUUGAUGUAGCUUGAUGUCUUCAAGCUUUAAGAGCUUAGCCCCAAUAGUGUGGAAGCCUCAAGUGGAAUCACAAAUCACCAAGACACCUUGGAAAACUUUAGAGAAUAUGAAUACUUGGUUCUCUCUUAGUAAAAUUGGCUAGCCCUCUUAGUGUAUCCACACUAGUGCCCAUUUCAACAACCAAAGACAUCUUUAUAUAGUAUGGAGGAUUAGGGUUAAACCCUAACACCCAUGACCUUUCAUUUCCUAGGAUCCAUGGGUUAAACACUCCAUGGACUAUCCAUGAAAGCUUAGCCCAACCUAAAUGAACUUGGCCCAUUCCAUAUAUAUAAGAGUCCAUAUUUAAUUAGUUCCUUUUGAUCACUUAAUUAAUUAUAAAUUAAUUCUUGAUCAAUACUAAUUAAAUAAUAUGAUUCCAUAUUAAUAUAUUAGAACUUAUAAUAUAUUAAUAUUAAUCAUAAACAUACUAUUCUCAAAAGAUUAUCCAUAUAAAUUGUGUCGGUGAAGUGCAACCCAAAUGGACCAUGCCGGGUCGGGUCAAGUACAUACCAAAUAUAGUUAUGGACUUAGACAUUAAUCCAACACUCACAACCUUACCCAAAGGGUGAAGUACCAGUAGAUCUAACGAAUUGAAAAACCUCAACCUUUAACAUAAACAUUCCCCAGAAAUGACUAAAACAGAUCCCACACCUUGAUUGAAACUAAGCAGAACCCAC